Molecule: ribosomal RNA, 253 nt
Filed under: uncultured bacterium
Lineage: Bacteria
Description: partial 16S ribosomal RNA
Rfam family: Bacterial small subunit ribosomal RNA
Source: RNAcentral
UACGUAGGGGGCAAGCGUUGUCCGGAAUCAUUGGGCGUAAAGCGCGUGUAGGCGGCCCGGUAAGUCCGCUGUGAAAGUCGGGGGCUCAACCCUCGAAUGCCGGUGGCUACUGUCGGGCUAGAGUGCGGAAGAGGCGAGUGGAAUUCCUGGUGUAGCGGUGAAAUGCGCAGAUAUCAGGAGGAACACCAAUUGCGAAGGCAGCUCGCUGGGACGUGACUGACGCUGAGACGCGAAAGCGUGGGGAGCAAACAGG